GAAGUAAUAGAAGAUUUUCUCACCGUCAUUAUUUUUUCCUUAUAAAUAUAUGGUGACCUAACAACUCUUUUCCUCACACCCUCGAAAGAAAUAUAACAGAUCAAACAAGCCCAGCUUCUCAAUGGCUGCUAAUUCUCUGAAACUAUUUGCCACUCUCUCUCUUCUGUUUAUGCUCCUCUUUGCAACUGGUAAUUCAUUCAUAUCCUCGAUAGUUUAACGUUAACACAUCCUAUUUUACGUUUAAUGAGAAACUACUUUUUUUUUUUAAUAAUCACAGAAAUAUUAUAAUGUGUUUAAGAGCAUAAACUUUAAAAUAUUUCUGUUGCUAGUCAUAUAAAAAAUAUCUACGGCAUGUUUAAGAGUACAAGCUAAGUGUGAACAAUGUUUAAGUCUUUCGUAGGAGUUGAAAGAAUCACAUAGGUACUACUUAAUACGUAAUAAUUUGCAGAAAUGGGAGUGACGGCAGAAAUGGGAGUGACAACAGAAAUGGAAGUGAUUUUACUUUUUUUUUUUUUUUUUUGAAUUUUGAAUCAAUAAUAAUGAAGUUCAAGUCUAGUUAAUUAAGAACAGGACUCCCUGUUAUUUAAUUAAUUAAGAUUGACGAUGUAAUAAAUAAGAGUUGCAUGGUUUUGUUCCUUAAGAUUAUUAUGUGUGGAUGUAAUUGAAAAAGUUGUAU
RNAcentral lists this long non-coding RNA (676 nucleotides) under Capsicum annuum. RNAcentral's name for it is "long non-coding RNA (CANN_LNC004160)". Lineage: Eukaryota; Viridiplantae; Streptophyta; Magnoliopsida; Solanales; Solanaceae. The record is from RNAcentral.